This 483-nucleotide ribosomal RNA is filed under the name uncultured bacterium. Its description in RNAcentral is "partial 16S ribosomal RNA". It matches the Rfam family "Bacterial small subunit ribosomal RNA", at positions 28 to 507 of the family's 1533-position model. The record is from RNAcentral.
GACGAACGCUGGCGGCGUGCUUAACACAUGCAAGUCGAACGCUGAAGCUCAGCUUUUGUUGGGUGGAUGAGUGGCGAACGGGUGAGUAACACGUGAGUAACCUGCCUCCUUCUUUGGGAUAACGCCCGGAAACGGGUGCUAAUACUGGAUAUUCACUGGUCUUCGCAUGGGGGCUGGUGGAAAGGGUUUUUCUGGCGGGGGAUGGGCCCGCAGCCUAUCAGCUUGUUGGUGGGGUGAUGGCCUACCAAGGCUUUGACGGGUAGCCAGCAUGAGAGGGUGACCGGUCACAUUGGGACUGAGAUACGGCCCAGAGUCCUACGGGAGGCAGAAGUGGGGAAUAUUGGACAAUGGGCGCAAGAGUGAUGCAGCGACGCCGCGUGAGGGAUGGAGGCCUUCGGGUUGUGAAGCUCUUUAGGUAAUGGUCAAGCCGAAAAAAUGGUUGUGGUGAGGGUAGUGGGUGAAGAAGCGCCGGCUAACUACGUG